This 492-nucleotide ribosomal RNA is filed under the name uncultured bacterium. Its description in RNAcentral is "partial 16S ribosomal RNA". It matches the Rfam family "Bacterial small subunit ribosomal RNA", at positions 29 to 507 of the family's 1533-position model. The record is from RNAcentral.
AGUGAACGCUGGCGGUAGGCCUAACACAUGCAAGUCGAACGGCAGCACAGUAAGAGCUUGCUCUUACGGGUGGCGAGUGGCGGACGGGUGAGGAAUACAUCGGAAUCUACUUUUUCGUGGGGGAUAACGUAGGGAAACUUACGCUAAUACCGCAUACGACCUACGGGUGAAAGCAGGGGAUCUUCGGACCUUGCGCGAAUGAAUGAGCCGAUGUCGGAUUAGCUAGUUGGGGGGGUAAAGGCCCACCAAGGCGACGAUCCGUAGCUGGUCUGAGAGGAUGAUCAGCCACACUGGAACUGAGACACGGUCCAGACUCCUACGGGAGGCAGCAGUGGGGAAUAUUGGACAAUGGGCGCAAGCCUGAUCCAGCCAUACCGCGUGGGUGAAGAAGGCCUUCGGGUUGUAAAGCCCUUUUGUUGGGAAAGAAAAGCAGCAGGUUAAUACCCCGCUGUUCUGACGGUACCCAAAGAAUAAGCACCGGCUAACUUCGUG